GACGUUGAUAUUCGACGUCAUAAACACGAUCAACUUAGAUGCUUAUAACGUCGAUAUUCGACGUCAUCAACACGAUCAACUUUGGUGUUUAUGACGUUGAUAUUCGACGUCAUAAACACGAUCAACUUUGAUGUUUAUGACGUCAAUAUUCGAAGUCAUAAACACGAUCAAUUUUGGUGUUUAUGACGUCGAUAUUCGACGUCAUAAACACGAUCAACUUUGGUGUUUAUGACGUCGAUAGUCGACGUC
RNAcentral lists this microRNA precursor (249 nucleotides) under Paramuricea clavata. Lineage: Eukaryota; Metazoa; Cnidaria; Anthozoa; Malacalcyonacea; Plexauridae. The record is from RNAcentral.